This is a long non-coding RNA of Onychostoma macrolepis, 1172 nucleotides long. RefSeq lists it as uncharacterized. The record is from RefSeq and is a predicted model, not a curated record. NCBI's taxonomy places the organism in Eukaryota, Metazoa, Chordata, Actinopteri, Cypriniformes, Cyprinidae. The transcript is spliced from 4 exons.
CUUAUUAACAGAAACAACUUCAUCAACCAUCAUGAAUGAGCCAUUUAUUAAAAAUGGUUACUUUUGCUUAAAAGGGGAGAAGUUUAAAUACCUGGGCUUUUAAUUUUAUAUUUUGCAGCCCUAACUAUGAGUGAACUUUUCUGCAUGAGCAGUGCCAAUAAUAGACAACAAUUCAGAUUUUAUCUGUACAUAUUUGUAUGGAACCAUUUUUGUAUACAGUGCCUUUUUAGCUGCAUGAUGUGUUAUAAAAAGCUGAGUGGAGAAGAUAUUUUUAGCAUUGCAUUAAGAAAAAGAUGUCAAUUUUGUCAUCAGCAAGGGUUUGCAGUGAUUUUUAUGGUGCAUUCCAGACAACUUUAGCGCAGUGCACAUAGGCUGCAUCCUACUAUAUAGCAGGCGAAAAGCAGUAGGCGAGUGAAUAUGUCCGAAACCUCAGUAUUCAUAAAACAGUAGGUGAGAAUUACCUGGGUGACAUACUAAUUCUCGCGAGAUUCGGACGUGCGUCUACUUAAAGUAGGGGAAAAGCAGUAUAGGCGAGCGAAGAAGUAUGUGAAACCUCAGUAUUCAUAAAAGAGUAGGCGAGAAGUUCCCGGAUGUUCUACCCAGAUUCUUGAGUGCUCAUCGAUGGAUACUUUUCAAUCCCAAAAGCCCACGGGAGAUCAAUAUGUCAUUAUCUAACGUGAUGGAGAACAGCGACGAGGAUGUUUACAAAUGGACAGAUGAGACACACGUGUGUUUAUCCGGUGAAGAGUGACUGAUGGAGGAAUGCUGCCAUCAAAAGCUUUGAAUUUGAUGCAGAGCUUUUGUGGUGGAGCAGGUGAUGGCGGCAUUUGUGGAGAAAAAAAAGGAAAACCUGAAACAAAAAUAUAAAGAUCUGAAAUGUCUACAGACUGCUGUGAGCAGUGAGGAUGGAGAAGUCCACAGCAGCAUCCUGGAAAUUAUCCAGUGCCAUGAAUGAGUCACUCCAUCACUGCACCUGACCUUACUGCCUCGUCUGGACUGGAUGCUCCUGUGGUCUCUUCAUCCUCACUGACCACAGAGCCAGCGAGAACAUCUAGAAAAAGACCAAACGAAAUGGAGGAUGUGAUUUUGUUCAAGUUUGUUCUGCUGGUUUCUGUUCAUACAACAUCAGUCAAUGAAACCAGAGUUUCAGAAGCUUCAAAAGCAUCAUCAAA